Molecule: ribosomal RNA, 427 nt
Filed under: uncultured bacterium
Lineage: Bacteria
Description: partial 16S ribosomal RNA
Rfam family: Bacterial small subunit ribosomal RNA
Source: RNAcentral
UGGGGAAUAUUGCACAAUGGGCGCAAGCCUGAUGCAGCCAUGCCGCGUGUAUGAAGAAGGCCUUCAGGUUGUAAAGUACUUUCAGCGGGGAGGAAGGUGUUGAGGUUAAUAACCUCAGCAAUUGACGUUACCCGCAGAAGAAGCACCGGCUAACUCCGUGCCAGCAGCCGCGGUAAUACGGAGGGUGCAAGCGUUAAUCGGAAUUACUGGGCGUAAAGCGCACGCAGGCGGUCUGUCAAGUCGGAUGUGAAAUCCCCGGGCUCAACCUGGGAACUGCAUUCGAAACUGGCAGGCUAGAGUCUUGUAGAGGGGGGUAGAAUUCCAGGUGUAGCGGUGAAAUGCGUAGAGAUCUGGAGGAAUACCGGUGGCGAAGGCGGCCCCCUGGACAAAGACUGACGCUCAGGUGCGAAAGCGUGGGGAGCAAACA